CCUCUGCUGCUGCAUCCCCCGCUUAAUACUCAAGCCAGAAACCAGGAAGGCUGUGGCUUGCCUUUUCACUUCUUGUGUCCUGUUUAAGAAAUAUCUGCUAUCCCAAGCAUCUGGCAUCUUUCUUGACAUACGUAGCAGUUGCUUUUUGACAGCUUGCUUCUGGAGUGAAUGAAUAAAUUAAUAAAUUUAUUCAUUUGAUAUUCAGUGACAUGUGAUAUUCAGUGAUCCAUUUUGCAGGAUAAACCAGUAUUCUGGACUAAGCCAACCUGGGAGACCCUAGGAAGCCUGUUUGAGAAAGUGACAUUUAAAUUGAGACUUGGCUGUGGCUGUGGCUACAUAUCUAAUUGCAAACUCCUAGAGAAGGGCUCAACAGUGAGUGUUGAGGCUGCACAGAGGAGGAAGGUAGCACAAUGAUGGAAGGCUUCCUAAAGAGGCUCUUGAGUUUCUGCUUUCAAGUGACCCUCAGAAAUGCCCCCAUUCACUGCAGAGGUUCUGUUUCUCCUUGUUUUGUUCCGACUUUAUGGCAGAACUAGGUUAAUGAGUUAAUUACUAUGAGUUAUCACUUGGAUUUGAAGAACCAUCAUUUCUAGGCUUUGCUGCUCAGAGUGGGUUUGCCCUCAGGGGAAGCUAUCUAACCAGAGCCUAACCCACUAGGGUUUUAUCAGAACCUAACUGGCCUGAGGAAAAGAAAUAUUCAACUCCAGCAAGCUCCAGCCUUCCAAACGGAGGAGGAGAAAACCCAAAUCCAGCCCACUUCAGCUAUCUUGUCCCACAUAAAGGGGGAGUGGAAGAAACGUGAGAAGCAGGCAUGAAGUUCACAGUCCGGAGGUACAGACACAUCAGAGUUCAGUAUCUGAUGAAUUAGAUGCAAAAUCCUCAACAAAGUAUUAGCAAAUUGAAUUCAACAAUGUAUGAAAAUUAUUACAUGCCAUGACUAAUUGGAAUUUAUCUCAGGUAUACAAGCCAUGCUGAACAUCUGAAAAUCAAUUCAUGUGAUCCAUCACAUUAGCAGAUUCAAGAAAAAAAAAACCACAUUAUCAUAUCAGUAGAUGUAGAAAAAAAAAAUUAACAAAAUCCAGCACGCAUUCACAAUGAAAAUGCUCAGUAAAUUAGAAAUAGAAGGUAACUUCCUCAACUUGACAAGGAAUAUCUCUAAAAACCUACAACUAAAAUCAUACUUAAUGGUAAAAAACUAGAAGCCUUCCCAGUAAGAGUAAGAACAAGGCAAAGAUGUAUGCUCUCACCACUCCUUUUCAACAUCAUAUUGGAAGUCCUAGCUAGUGCAAUAAGCAAAAAAAAAAAAAAAA
This 1307-nucleotide long non-coding RNA is filed under the name Pongo abelii (Sumatran orangutan). RNAcentral describes it as "lincRNA". The record is from RNAcentral. Lineage: Eukaryota; Metazoa; Chordata; Mammalia; Primates; Hominidae.